GCGGGCGUGGCGGAACGGUUGACGCAGGGCGCUUAAACCGCCCCGGGGUUGCGACCCCAUGCAGGUUCGAAUCCUGUCGCCCGCA
RNAcentral lists this transfer RNA (85 nucleotides) under Actinomycetota bacterium. Its description in RNAcentral is "tRNA-Leu". It matches the Rfam family "tRNA". From Rfam's summary of the family: Transfer RNA (tRNA) molecules are approximately 80 nucleotides in length. The record is from RNAcentral. Lineage: Bacteria; Bacillati; Actinomycetota.